RNAcentral lists this ribosomal RNA (460 nucleotides) under uncultured bacterium. RNAcentral describes it as "partial 16S ribosomal RNA". It matches the Rfam family "Bacterial small subunit ribosomal RNA", at positions 338 to 795 of the family's 1533-position model. The record is from RNAcentral.
CCUACGGGUGGCUGCAGUGAGGAAUAUUGGUCAAUGGGCGGAAUCCUGAACCAGCCAUGCCGCGUGCAGGACGAAGGCUCUACGAGUUGUAAACUGCUUUUGUACGAGGGUAAAUGCCGAUACGUGUCUCGGGUUGAAAGUACCGUACGAAUAAGGAUCGGCUAACUCCGUGCCAGCAGCCGCGGUAAUACGGAGGAUUCAAGCGUUAUCCGGAUUUAUUGGGUUUAAAGGGUGCGUAGGCGGUGCGAUAAGUUAGAGGUGAAAUCCCGGGGCUCAACUCCGGCACUGCCUCUGAUACUGUCAGGCUAGAGUUUAGUAGCGGUAUGCGGAAUGUAUGGUGUAGCGGUGAAAUGCAUAGAGAUCAUACAGAACACCGAUUGCGAAGGCAGCUUACCAAACUACGACUGACGUUGAGGCACGAAAGCGUGGGUAGCAAACAGGAUUAGAUACCCGAGUAGUC